This 253-nucleotide ribosomal RNA is filed under the name uncultured prokaryote. RNAcentral's name for it is "partial 16S ribosomal RNA". It matches the Rfam family "Bacterial small subunit ribosomal RNA", at positions 524 to 776 of the family's 1533-position model. The record is from RNAcentral.
UACGUAGGUGGCAAGCGUUGUUCGGAAUUACUGGGCGUAAAGGGCUCGUAGGCGGCCAACUAAGUCAUACGUGAAAUCCCUCGGCUUAACCGGGGAACUGCGUCUGAUACUGGAUGGCUUGAGUUCGGGAGAGGGAUGCGGAAUUCCAGGUGUAGCGGUGAAAUGCGUAGAUAUCUGGAGGAACACCGGUGGCGAAGGCGGCAUCCUGGACCGAUACUGACGCUGAGGAGCGAAAGCCAGGGGAGCAAACGGG